Molecule: ribosomal RNA, 428 nt
Filed under: uncultured bacterium
Lineage: Bacteria
Description: bacterial SSU rRNA
Rfam family: Bacterial small subunit ribosomal RNA
Source: RNAcentral
AACGCGAAGAACCUUACCAAGACUUGACAUAUACGGGAAUACUUAAGAAAUUAAGUAGUCUUUCGGGACUCGUAUACAGGUGAUGCAUGGUUGUCGUCAGCUCGUGUCGUGAGAUGUUGGGUUAAGUCCCGCAACGAGCGCAACCCUCGUGAUUAGUUGCCUUAUAAAAGGAACUCUAAUCAGACUGCCGUAGUUAAUACGGAGGAAGGUGAGGAUGAUGUCAAAUCAUCACGUCCCUUAUGUCUUGGGCUACACACGUACUACAAUGGGCGUUACAAAGAGAAGCGAUACCGCGAGGAGGAGCAAAACUGAAAAAGGCGUCCUAAGUUCGGAUUGCAGGCUGAAACUCGCCUGUAUGAAGUUGGAAUUGCUAGUAAUCAUAGGUCAGCAUACUAUGGUGAAUACGUUCCCGGGUCUUGUACACACGC